This is a long non-coding RNA of Tyto alba (common barn owl), 310 nucleotides long. RefSeq lists it as uncharacterized. The transcript has 2 exons. Lineage: Eukaryota; Metazoa; Chordata; Aves; Strigiformes; Tytonidae. The record is from RefSeq and is a predicted model, not a curated record.
GUUGGGGGUUUGGAGGCGUUGCGAAAUGGCUGUGGGACAACCGCGCCCGGCGCCGCUUCGGGGAAGCCGUGUGUUUCUUUUUUGCAGCUUGCAUUGGUGACAUGCACAACCCAGCAACCGUGGCUCGCCGCAACUCCCGGCUCACGAUGAUGAAAGCUGCAGUGUUGGUUUUCCUUAUUACAGCCUGCUGAUGUAUGCGGAGUUUAAUCCCAAAAGGAUUAAUGUGCAGGGGGAAGGAGAAUGGGGGGGGGUGGUAGUUUGGAUUGUGUGGAUCAUUGAUUUAAUAAAAAAUAGUAUAUAAAUAACAAAA